GCCAUUCAGAUCCUUACUGUAUAUGUUGGCUACAGUAGGUUCAGAUUUACUCUUUGAAGUAGGAUGCACCUAGAAAGAAUCUAUCAACUUUGGUCGAAAAGAAGAAGUCCUAUGCGAUUCGCGAGACUGAGUUCAGAAAAUCUUUGAUCAAAGCAAGUAUGAAUAUCAAAAAAGAGUUUUCACAGGAUUCACAUAUGAACUCGAGUCGAGCCAAUCAUGCAUAUGACUGACAAUGGGGUCUGACGAGUUCUCCAUGACCUCCGUCAAGUUGAAACUUAUGA
Molecule: long non-coding RNA, 281 nt
Filed under: Elaeis guineensis (African oil palm)
Lineage: Eukaryota; Viridiplantae; Streptophyta; Magnoliopsida; Arecales; Arecaceae
Description: long non-coding RNA (EGUI_LNC038091)
Source: RNAcentral